Molecule: long non-coding RNA, 525 nt
Filed under: Ananas comosus (pineapple)
Lineage: Eukaryota; Viridiplantae; Streptophyta; Magnoliopsida; Poales; Bromeliaceae
Description: long non-coding RNA (ACOM_LNC016459)
Source: RNAcentral
GUUGUUUUUGUUGAAGUUCAUGUACAUACUUAUAUUUAACUCGCCAGUGCGAGUAGUCUUGUAUCUUGAAUUUUGGCGUAUGUAUAUGGAACUUGGUUGUUUUAUUUCUGGUUCUUCUAGCAGCUCUAUACUACUGUUUGUAGUAUUGUAUGAUUUACAGGUACAGCUAUCGCUUUGUAUACAGGAAAAAUUUCUUUGUAUACGGCGGAUUUGUCGGCGUGCCCGGAGAACGUGUAAUUCGGGGCGUGACAAAAAUUUUAAUUUUAAUAUUAAUUUUGAAUUAAAAUUUAAAAUUUAAAAUUUUUAUUUUGGGACUAAAGUGAAAAAUAUGCAAUAUUUAGAGACCAAAAUCGACAUGCAAAAGAAUGCCAAAUAGGUACUAACGUGGCGAUUCCGUUAAUUUUAACAUUUUUUUUAAUGGCCGGGAUGUAAUUACAAUAAAAUCAAAAGGUUGGGAACUUGAUUGUCAAAAAAAAAAAAAAAGAUUGGAGACUAAAAUGAAAAUUGAUAUAAAGGUUAAAAUUU